UUGGGUGGAUCAGUGGCGAACGGGUGAGUAACACGUGAGCAACCUGCCCCGGACUCUGGAAUAAGCGCUGGAAACGGCGUCUAAUACUGGAUAUGACACCAAUCCGCAUGGGUAUGGUGUGGAAAGUUUUUCGGUCUGGGAUGGGCUCGCGGCCUAUCAGCUUGUUGGUGAGGUAAUGGCUCACCAAGGCGACGACGGGUAGCCGGCCUGAGAGGGCGACCGGCCACACUGGGACUGAGACACGGCCCAGACUCCUACGGGAGGCAGCAGUGGGGAAUAUUGCACAAUGGGCGAAAGCCUGAUGCAGCGACGCCGCGUGAGGGAUGACGGCCUUCGGGUUGUAAACCUCUUUCAGCAGGGAAGAAGCGAAAGUGACGGUACCUGCAGAAGAAGCACCGGCUAACUACGUGCCAGCAGCCGCGGUAAUACGUAGGGUGCGAGCGUUGUCCGGAAUUAUUGGGCGUAAAGAGCUUGUAGGCGGUUUGUCGCGUCUGCUGUGAAAAUCCGGGGCUCAACCCCGGACUUGCAGUGGGUACGGGCAGACUAGAGUGUGGUAGGGGAGACUGGAAUUCCUGGUGUAGCGGUGAAAUGCGCAGAUAUCAGGAGGAACACCGAUGGCGAAGGCAGGUCUCUGGGCCACUACUGACGCUGAGAAGCGAAAGCAUGGGGAGCGAACAGGAUUAGAUACCCUGGUAGUCCAUGCCGUAAACGUUGGGCGCUAGGUGUGGGACUCAUUCCACGAGUUCCGUGCCGCAGCU
This 758-nucleotide ribosomal RNA is filed under the name Actinomycetes bacterium. RNAcentral's name for it is "bacterial SSU rRNA". It matches the Rfam family "Bacterial small subunit ribosomal RNA", at positions 83 to 853 of the family's 1533-position model. Lineage: Bacteria; Bacillati; Actinomycetota; Actinomycetes. The record is from RNAcentral.